This 253-nucleotide ribosomal RNA is filed under the name uncultured bacterium. RNAcentral describes it as "partial 16S ribosomal RNA". It matches the Rfam family "Bacterial small subunit ribosomal RNA", at positions 524 to 776 of the family's 1533-position model. The record is from RNAcentral.
UACGAAGGGGGCUAGCGUUGUUCGGAAUUACUGGGCGUAAAGCGUGCGCAGGCGGCUUCUCAAGUCAGGGGUGAAAGCCCAGAGCUCAACUCUGGAAUUGCCUUUGAGACUGAGUGGCUUGAGUACGAGAGAGGUGAGUGGAAUUCCCAGUGCAGAGGUGAAAUUCGUAGAUAUUGGGAAGAACACCGGUGGCGAAGGCGGCUCACUGGCUCGUAACUGACGCUCAUGCACGACAGCGUGGGGAUCAAACAGG